ACGAACGCUGGCGGCGUGCUUAACACAUGCAAGUCGAACGAAAAGAGGGAAAGAGCUUGCUCUUUCCGGAAUUGAGUGGCAAACGGGUGAGUAACACGUAAACAACCUGCCUUCAGGAUGGGGACAACAGACGGAAACGACUGCUAAUACCGAAUAAGUUCCAAGGGCCGCAUGGCCCAUGGAAGAAAAGGUGGCCUCUACCUGUAAGCUAUCGCCUGAAGAGGGGUUUGCGUCUGAUUAGCUGGUUGGAGGGGUAACGGCCCACCAAGGCGACGAUCAGUAGCCGGUCUGAGAGGAUGAACGGCCUCACUGGAAUUGAGACACGGUCCAGACUCCUACGGGAGGCAGCAGUGGGGAAUCUUCCGCAAUGGGCGAAAGCCUGACGGAGCAACGCCGCGUGAGUGAUGACGGCCUUCGGGUUGUAAAACUCUGUGAUCCGGGACGAAAAGGCAGAGUGCGAAGAACAAACUGCAUUGACGGUACCGGAAAAGCAAGCCACGGCUAACUACGUG
This 512-nucleotide ribosomal RNA is filed under the name uncultured bacterium. RNAcentral's name for it is "partial 16S ribosomal RNA". It matches the Rfam family "Bacterial small subunit ribosomal RNA", at positions 29 to 507 of the family's 1533-position model. The record is from RNAcentral.